CCCUUAGAUGUCCUGGGCUGCACGCGCGCUACACUGAUGUGUCCAGUAAGCACCUAACCUAUUCCGAGAGGAGCGGGUAACCUUAGCAAAGCACAUCGUGAUGGGGAUAGAUUAUUGCAAUUAUUAGUCUUGAACGAGGAAUUCCUAGUAAACGCAAGUCAUCAACUUGCAUUGAUUACGUCCCUGCCCUUUGUACACACCGCCCGUCGCUCCUACCGAUUGAGUGGUCCGGUGAGGCUUUGGGAUCUGAGCGGAAAGAGCGUUUCGCUGUUUCUGCUCGGAAAACUCAGUCGAACCUUAUCAUUUAGAGGAAGGAGAAGUCGUAACA
Molecule: ribosomal RNA, 328 nt
Filed under: uncultured eukaryote
Lineage: Eukaryota
Description: partial 18S ribosomal RNA
Rfam family: Eukaryotic small subunit ribosomal RNA
Source: RNAcentral